AUAACUGAUUAUUUAGUAAUCGUUCUAUUGAGGCUAAAAGCCUUACCUGUUAAAAACCAAACUUCCUGACAAUUUCUCGAAUUUUCACUAUAAACAACACAAAAUAAAUGAACUGUUAUUGAAUUAUUUGAAGAUUGCGUCAAAUUUGGACGUUUUGCAUGGUGGGGAAAAAUAGAGAUCUGGCAGCUCAGCAAGAUGGGCUUAAUCGAAAAUUUACUUUAAAGCUCUCUAGUUUUGUGCUUACCAAAUUUAUCCGGUUUAUCAUCGAAGUUUUAAAUAAACCAUCAGAGACAAGUAGAGACUAGAAAGUAGGCGUGAAAAAAUGUCCCAAAAAUCGCUGUAUUUCGGUCUCUUUGCUAUGUUUGUUGAAUUAUCCCAAAGCUUAUGUUGCCAUGUCGUUUUAUUUAUAGCAUGUAAUGCAAAAAUAAUGGUUUUGUUUCCUUAUCUAAUCCAUUGACGAAAAACCGCACAUGGUGUUGCCAUUUGGGAGUUGAUAAUUAACGGCACCGCUGCUUGCUGCAAUCGCUAACCCUACUUAUGCCUUAUUUUGACGGCUACCCAUAUAAACAUUAAUAUAUAUGUUUUUUGUUUGAGAUUAUUGAGUUUUGUGAUUUGUGGUUUGAUAUCGAAUGCGUGAUUGUGGUCAGUUCUUAGUUUGUGGCGUGUUUUUAGUUGUUGGUGGGUUCUGUUCGGCACGCUUUGUUUAUGUUGCAUGGCUUUUGUUACUGGGGUUUUCGGUAUAUCGGGUUUUCGUCUGUAUAAUGCUAGGAAAUUUGUACAGUAUAUUAAUUUAGUAAGAUGCCCAUGCCAGCAAGCAGCUAAUAUGGAGAGAAUUUGUCGCAAAGUUUCGUUGGUAAGAAUCCAACACUAUCCAGGGUAUCGGACUACUGGGUGUCUUCGCGAAGAUGUUGAUCCUCCAGCAGCCGGGCAAAAAAAUAAACAGAAAGUUGUAGAUUUUUUUAGUUGACAGGUAAAAGUUUUUUUUAUGUGCAUUGAUUGAUUGUCUUAGUAUUAGGAUUAUUCCUGUUAAACAAUAAACAAUUGAAUUGAAUUGAGUAAAAUGAA
Dendroctonus ponderosae (mountain pine beetle) is the source of this 1065-nucleotide long non-coding RNA. RefSeq lists it as uncharacterized. The transcript has 2 exons. NCBI's taxonomy places the organism in Eukaryota, Metazoa, Arthropoda, Insecta, Coleoptera, Curculionidae. The record is from RefSeq and is a predicted model, not a curated record.